Molecule: ribosomal RNA, 481 nt
Filed under: uncultured bacterium
Lineage: Bacteria
Description: SSU rRNA
Rfam family: Bacterial small subunit ribosomal RNA
Source: RNAcentral
AGAACGAACGCUGGCGGCAUGCCUAACACAUGCAAGUCGAACGCUUCCGGGGCUUCGGUCGCGGAGGAGUGGCGCACGGGUGAGUAGCGCGUGGGAACCUGCCCUGUUGUGGGGGAUAACCGAGGGAAACUUCGGCUAAUACCGCAUACGCCCCGGGACUUGGUCUUCGGAUUAGGUCUGGGGGGAAAGAUUGAUCGCAGCAGGAGGGGCCCGCGUCGGAUUAGCUGGUUGGUGGGGUAACGGCUCACCAAGGCGAUGAUCCGUAGCUGGUCUGAGAGGAUGAUCAGCCACACUGGGACUGAGACACGGCCCAGACUCCUACGGGAGGCAGCAGUGGGGAAUAUUGGACAAUGGGGGCAACCCUGAUCCAGCAAUGCCGCGUGAGUGAUGAAGGCCUUAGGGUUAUAAAGCUCUUUCGCCCGCGACGAUGAUGACGGUAGCGGGAGAAGAGCCCGGCUAACUUCGUGCCAGCAGCCGCGGU